GCGCAGCCUGAUGCAGCGACGCCGCGUGAGGGAUGACGGCCUUCGGGUUGUAAACCUCUUUCACCAGGGACGAAGCUUUUGUGACGGUACCUGGAGAAGAAGCACCGGCCAACUACGUGCCAGCAGCCGCGGUAAUACGUAGGGUGCGAGCGUUGUCCGGAAUUACUGGGCGUAAAGAGCUCGUAGGCGGUUUGUCGCGUCGUCUGUGAAAUUCUGCAGCUUAACUGCAGGCGUGCAGGCGAUACGGGCAGACUUGAGUACUACAGGGGAGACUGGAAUUCCUGGUGUAGCGGUGAAAUGCGCAGAUAUCAGGAGGAACACCGGUGGCGAAGGCGGGUCUCUGGGUAGUAACUGACGCUGAGGAGCGAAAGCGUGGGUAGCGAACAGGAUUAGAUACCCUGGUAGUCCACGCCGUAAACGGUGGGUACUAGGUGUGGGGCUCAUUUCACGAGUUCCGUGCCGUAGCUAACGCAUUAAGUACCCCGCCUGGGGAGUACGGCCGCAAGGCUAAAACUCAAAGGAAUUGACGGGGGCCCGCACAAGCGGCGGAGCAUGUGGAUUAAUUCGAUGCAACGCGAAGAACCUUACCUGGGUUUGACAUACACCAGACGCGGCUAGAGAUAGUCGUUCCCUUGUGGUUGGUGUACAGGUGGUGCAUGGCUGUCGUCAGCUCGUGUCGUGAGAUGUUGGGUUAAGUCCCGCAACGAGCGCAACCCUUGUCCUGUAUUGCCAGCGGGUUAUGCCGGGGACUUGCAGGAGACUGCCGGGGUCAACUCGGAGGAAGGUGGGGAUGACGUCAAGUCAUCAUGCCCCUUAUGUCCAGGCUUCACACAUGCUACAAUGGCCGGUACAGAGGGCUGCGAUACCGUGAGGUGGAGCGAAUCCCUUAAAGCCGGUCUCAGUUCGGAUCGGGGUCUGCAACUCGACCCC
RNAcentral lists this ribosomal RNA (930 nucleotides) under Gordonia sp. MCCC1A07755. RNAcentral describes it as "bacterial SSU rRNA". It matches the Rfam family "Bacterial small subunit ribosomal RNA", at positions 375 to 1319 of the family's 1533-position model. Lineage: Bacteria; Bacillati; Actinomycetota; Actinomycetes; Mycobacteriales; Gordoniaceae. The record is from RNAcentral.